RNAcentral lists this ribosomal RNA (868 nucleotides) under uncultured archaeon. RNAcentral's name for it is "bacterial SSU rRNA". It matches the Rfam family "Archaeal small subunit ribosomal RNA", at positions 1 to 878 of the family's 1478-position model. The record is from RNAcentral.
UCUGGUUGAUCCUGCAGAGGUUACUGCUAUCGGUGUUCGCCUAAGCAUGCGAGUCAUAUGUAGCAAUACAUGGCGUACUGCUCAGUAACACGUGGACAACCUACCCUCAGGUCGGGGAUAAACCCGGGAAACUGGGUAUAAUACCCGAUAGAUCUCGAUUGCUGGAAUGCAUCGAGCUCUAAAGCUCCGGCGCCUGAGGAUGGGUCUGCGGCCUAUCAGGUAGUAGUGGGUGUAGCGUACCUACUAGCCUACGACGGGUACGGGUUGUGAGAGCAAGAGCCCGGAGAUGGAUUCUGAGACACGAAUCCAGGCCCUACGGGGUGCAGCAGGCGCGAAAACUUUACAAUGCCGGCAACGGCGAUAAGGGGACCUCGAGUGCCAGGUUACAAAUCUGGCUGUCGUGAUGCCUAAAAAGCAUUGCAUAGCAAGGGCCGGGCAAGACCGGUGCCAGCCGCCGCGGUAACACCGGCGGCUCGAGUGGUAACCGUUGUUAUUGGGUCUAAAGGGUCUGUAGCCGGCCGGAUAAGUCUCUUGGGAAAUCCAGCAGCUCAACUGUUGGGCUUUCAGGAGAUACUGUUCGGCUCGAGGCCGGGAGAGGUGAGAGGUACUUCAGGGGUAGGGGUGAAAUCUUGUAAUCCUUGAAGGACCACCAGUGGCGAAGGCGUCUCACCAGAACGGACCUGACGGCAAGGGACGAAAGCUAGGGGCACGAACCGGAUUAGGUACCCGGGUAGUCCUAGCCGUAAACGAUACUCGCUAGGUGUCGGCCACGGUGCGACCGUUGUCGGUGCCGUAGGGAAGCCGUGAAGCGAGCCACCUGGGAAGUACGGCCGCAAGGCUGAAACUUAAAGGAAUUGGCGGGGGAGCA